AGUAUUCUUUUAGGGUGGACCAUAUGCCACAUUUGGGUGAAUUUCACUGGGGCUGGAUGACUUCUGAACUUCAGGAAUCUUUUCAGAAUAUGAAGUCCCCUGAAGUCAACCGAGUUGAAGAAACAGAACUAAAUUUCCCAUUCUUGAGUCCAGUGACAUUAUCUUGGACUUACGUCAACGAAGUUGAAAGCACACAGUCAUUUAGCUGAAUAUUGCCAAGAGGAAAGAUCAUGAUCAUGACAUAACUUCUUGUUCUGUUGGUGGUGAUGAUAAGGGAUGUUGUGAUGGGUCAACAUUACAAGAUACAAGGUAAGAAAGAA
This is a long non-coding RNA of Oxyura jamaicensis (ruddy duck), 320 nucleotides long. RefSeq lists it as uncharacterized. The record is from RefSeq and is a predicted model, not a curated record. The transcript has 3 exons. Lineage: Eukaryota; Metazoa; Chordata; Aves; Anseriformes; Anatidae.